UAGCUGAGUGCUUAAGGCAUUGGGCUUGAAAUCCAGUGGGGUUUCCCUGUGCAGGUUUGAAUCCUGU
RNAcentral lists this transfer RNA (67 nucleotides) under Chelonia mydas (Green sea turtle). It matches the Rfam family "tRNA", at positions 8 to 63 of the family's 71-position model. From Rfam's summary of the family: Transfer RNA (tRNA) molecules are approximately 80 nucleotides in length. Their secondary structure includes four short double-helical elements and three loops (D, anti-codon, and T loops). The record is from Rfam by way of RNAcentral. Lineage: Eukaryota; Metazoa; Chordata; Testudines; Cheloniidae.